This 440-nucleotide ribosomal RNA is filed under the name uncultured bacterium. Its description in RNAcentral is "partial 16S ribosomal RNA". It matches the Rfam family "Bacterial small subunit ribosomal RNA", at positions 338 to 795 of the family's 1533-position model. The record is from RNAcentral.
CCUACGGGAGGCAGCAGUGGGGAAUAUUGCACAAUGGGGGGAACCCUGAUGCAGCGACGCCGCGUGGGUGAAGGAGUACUUCGGUACGUAAAGCCCUAUCAGCAGGAAAGAAAAUGACGGUACCUGACUAAGAAGCCCCGGCUAACUACGUGCCAGCAGCCGCGGUAAUACGUAGGGGGCAAGCGUUAUCCGGAUUUACUGGGUGUAAAGGGAGCGUAGACGGCAAGGCAAGUCUGGAGUGAAAGCCCGUGGCCCAACCACGGGACUGCUUUGGAAACUGUGUUGCUGGAGUGCGGGAGGGGCAGGCGGAAUUCCUGGUGUAGCGGUGAAAUGCGUAGAUAUCAGGAGGAACACCGGCGGCGAAGGCGGCCUGCUGGACCGCGACUGACGUUGAGGCUCGAAAGCGUGGGGAGCGAACAGGAUUAGAUACCCCAGUAGUC